RNAcentral lists this transfer RNA (64 nucleotides) under Velutinodorcus velutinus. RNAcentral describes it as "tRNA-His". It matches the Rfam family "tRNA". Rfam says of the family: Transfer RNA (tRNA) molecules are approximately 80 nucleotides in length. Their secondary structure includes four short double-helical elements and three loops (D, anti-codon, and T loops). Further hydrogen bonds mediate the characteristic L-shaped molecular structure. tRNAs have two regions of fundamental functional importance: the anti-codon, which is responsible for specific mRNA codon recognition, and the 3' end, to which the tRNAs corresponding amino acid is attached (by aminoacyl-tRNA synthetases). tRNAs cope with the degeneracy of the genetic code in two manners: having more than one tRNA (with a specific anti-codon) for a particular amino acid; and 'wobble' base-pairing, i.e. permitting non-standard base-pairing at the 3rd anti-codon position. The record is from RNAcentral. Lineage: Eukaryota; Metazoa; Arthropoda; Insecta; Coleoptera; Lucanidae.
ACUUGAGUAGUUUAAUAAUAAAAUAUUGAUUUGUGGUGUCAUAGAUGUAGGAAUACCUUAAGUA